Molecule: ribosomal RNA, 669 nt
Filed under: Photobacterium leiognathi
Lineage: Bacteria; Pseudomonadati; Pseudomonadota; Gammaproteobacteria; Vibrionales; Vibrionaceae
Description: bacterial SSU rRNA
Rfam family: Bacterial small subunit ribosomal RNA
Source: RNAcentral
CCUGGGGAGUACGGUCGCAAGAUUAAAACUCAAAUGAAUUGACGGGGGCCCGCACAAGCGGUGGAGCAUGUGGUUUAAUUCGAUGCAACGCGAAGAACCUUACCUACUCUUGACAUCCAGAGAACUUUCCAGAGAUGGAUUGGUGCCUUCGGGAACUCUGAGACAGGUGCUGCAUGGCUGUCGUCAGCUCGUGUUGUGAAAUGUUGGGUUAAGUCCCGCAACGAGCGCAACCCUUAUCCUUGUUUGCCAGCACUUCGGGUGGGAACUCCAGGGAGACUGCCGGUGAUAAACCGGAGGAAGGUGGGGACGACGUCAAGUCAUCAUGGCCCUUACGAGUAGGGCUACACACGUGCUACAAUGGCGUAUACAGAGGGCUGCCAACUCGCGAGAGUGAGCGAAUCCCAGAAAGUACGUCGUAGUCCGGAUUGGAGUCUGCAACUCGACUCCAUGAAGUCGGAAUCGCUAGUAAUCGUGAAUCAGAAUGUCACGGUGAAUACGUUCCCGGGCCUUGUACACACCGCCCGUCACACCAUGGGAGUGGGCUGCACCAGAAGUAGAUAGCUUAACCUUCGGGAGGGCGUUUACCACGGUGUGGUUCAUGACUGGGGUGAAGUCGUAACAAGGUAGCCCUAGGGGAACCUGGGGCUGGAUCACCUCCUUACCUAAAGA